RNAcentral lists this ribosomal RNA (217 nucleotides) under uncultured bacterium. Its description in RNAcentral is "partial 16S ribosomal RNA". It matches the Rfam family "Bacterial small subunit ribosomal RNA", at positions 328 to 539 of the family's 1533-position model. The record is from RNAcentral.
ACGCUCGACACCUACGGAGGCAGCAGUGAGGAAUAUUGGUCAAUGGGCGCUAGCCUGAACCAGCCAAGUAGCGUGAAGGAUGAAGGCUCUAUGGGUCGUAAACUUCUUUUAUAUAAGAAUAAAGUGCAGUAUGUAUACUGUUUUGUAUGUAUUAUAUGAAUAAGGAUCGGCUAACUCCGUGCCCGCAGCCGCGGUAAUCUGAGCGGGCUGGCAAGGC